ACGAACGCUGGCGGCGUGCUUAACACAUGCAAGUCGAACGGAAAGGCCUGCUUUCCCUUGUGGAUUGCGGGUACUCGAGUGGCGAGCGGGUGAGUAACACGUGAGUGAUCUGCCCCCAACUUGGGUAUAAGCCUGGGAAACUGGGUCUAAUUCCCGAUAGGACUGCAGGGUGGUGCCUGUGGUGGAAAACGAUUUUCUAGUGGUUGGGGAUGAGCUCGCGGCCUAUCAGCUUGUUGGUGGGGUAAUGGCCUACCAAGGCGGCGACGGGUAGCCGGCCUGAGAGGGUGGACGGCCACAUUGGGACUGAGAUACGGCCCAGACUCCUACGGGAGGCAGCAGUGGGGAAUAUUGCACAAUGGGCGGAAGCCUGAUGCAGCGACGCCGCGUGGGGGAUGACGGCCUUCGGGUUGUAAACUCCUUUCGACCGCGAGGAAGCCACCUGGUUGGAAGGGUGGUGACGGUAGUGGUAGAAGAAGCACCGGCUAACUACGUG
RNAcentral lists this ribosomal RNA (493 nucleotides) under uncultured bacterium. Its description in RNAcentral is "partial 16S ribosomal RNA". It matches the Rfam family "Bacterial small subunit ribosomal RNA", at positions 29 to 507 of the family's 1533-position model. The record is from RNAcentral.